UACGUAGGCAGCAAGCGUUGUUCGGAGUUACUGGGCGUAAAGGGUGUGUAGGCGGUUCCCUAAGUUUGGUGUGAAAUCUCCCGGCUCAACUGGGAGGGUGCGCCGAAAACUGGGGGGCUAGAGUACUGGAUGGGAGAGUGGAAUUCCUGGUGUAGCGGUGAAAUGCGUAGAUAUCAGGAGGAACACCUGUGGUGUAGACGGCUCUCUGGACAGUAACUGACGCUGAGACGCGAAAGCGUGGGGAGCGAACAGG
This 253-nucleotide ribosomal RNA is filed under the name uncultured bacterium. RNAcentral describes it as "partial 16S ribosomal RNA". It matches the Rfam family "Bacterial small subunit ribosomal RNA", at positions 524 to 776 of the family's 1533-position model. The record is from RNAcentral.